UUAUUUGAGAGUUUGAUCCUGGCUCAGGAUGAACGCUGGCGGCGUGCCUAACACAUGCAAGUUGAGCGAUUUACUUCGGUAAAGAGCAGCGGACGGGUGAGUAACGCGUGGGUAACCUACCC
RNAcentral lists this ribosomal RNA (122 nucleotides) under Clostridioides difficile. Its description in RNAcentral is "partial 16S ribosomal RNA". It matches the Rfam family "Bacterial small subunit ribosomal RNA", at positions 1 to 131 of the family's 1533-position model. The record is from RNAcentral. Lineage: Bacteria; Bacillati; Bacillota; Clostridia; Peptostreptococcales; Peptostreptococcaceae.